GACGAACGCUGGCGGCGUGCUUAACACAUGCAAGUCGAACGGAAAGGCCCUGCUUGCGCGGUGCUCGAGUGGCGAACGGGUGAGUAACACGUGCGUGAUCUGCCCCUUACUUUGGGAUAAGCCUGGGAAACUGGGUCUAAUACUGGAUAGGACCAUGCUGUAGGUGGUGUGGUGGAAAGAUUAGUUUCGGUAAGGGAUGAGCUCGGGGCCUAUCAGCUUGUUGGUGGGGUAAUGGCCUACCAAGGCGUCGACGGGUAGCCGGCCAGAGAGGGUGGACGGCCACGUUGGGACUGAGAUGCGGCCCAGACUCAUACGGGAGGCAGCAGUGGGGAAAAGUGCAACAGGGGCGCAAGCCUGAUGCAGCGACGCCGCGUGGGGGAUGACGGCCUUCGGGUUGUAAACUCCUUUCAGCCAUGACGAAGCCCUUGUGGUGACGGUAGUGGUAGAAGAAGCACCGGCUAACUACGUG
This 469-nucleotide ribosomal RNA is filed under the name uncultured bacterium. RNAcentral describes it as "partial 16S ribosomal RNA". It matches the Rfam family "Bacterial small subunit ribosomal RNA", at positions 28 to 507 of the family's 1533-position model. The record is from RNAcentral.